Molecule: ribosomal RNA, 496 nt
Filed under: uncultured bacterium
Lineage: Bacteria
Description: partial 16S ribosomal RNA
Rfam family: Bacterial small subunit ribosomal RNA
Source: RNAcentral
GAUGAACGCUGGCGGCGUGCCUAAUACAUGCAAGUCGAGCGAACAGACGAGGAGCUUGCUCCUCUGACGUUAGCGGCGGACGGGUGAGUAACACGUGGAUAACCUACCUAUAAGACUGGGAUAACUUCGGGAAACCGGAGCUAAUACCGGAUAAUAUAUUGAACCGCAUGGUUCAAUAGUGAAAGACGGUUUUGCUGUCACUUAUAGAUGGAUCCGCGCCGCAUUAGCUAGUUGGUAAGGUAACGGCUUACCAAGGCAACGAUGCGUAGCCGACCUGAGAGGGUGAUCGGCCACACUGGAACUGAGACACGGUCCAGACUCCUACGGGAGGCAGCAGUAGGGAAUCUUCCGCAAUGGGCGGAAGCCUGACGGAGCAACGCCGCGUGAGUGAUGAAGGUCUUCGGAUCGUAAAACUCUGUUAUUAGGGAAGAACAAAUGUGUAAGUAACUAUGCACGUCUUGACGGUACCUAAUCAGAAAGCCACGGCUAACUACGU